UUGCCUUCUGUAUAACAUUUUAUUUGGGGUAUUUUUCCAAUUACAUAUAUUUUUCUGUUACAGGGGUUUUUUUCCAGAAAACAAAAUAAAACAAAACCAACCACAGGUAGUUGCAAAGGAGCAAGACUUCAGUAGCAAAUAAGAAAAAAGCCUCAGGAAAAGUCCAAGGUGCCUUGGAACAGAUGUGUGGGAAAAGUGCUGGGACCAGAGGCUGGAGGGAGCCUGGGGCUGUGACUGAGAGAUGGGAAGAAAAGGGAAGCUGUGGCAGUGCCCAGCAGAGAUGACUGAGUUUAUCCCUUGGGAAAUGGAAUAAGGAUUUGAGUAAAAGAGCAAGCUUUAGUCUUUCAAGUCCUUUGCCAAAGUAACGCAGAUAAGUGUAAAUUUUAUUAUAUCCUACCAACAGCUUUAAGGACAAAAACAUCUUUGCUUCUAAAUACAGUUAAAAUCAGUUUGGGUCUAAAAAAAUUUUAAAAGGUGAAUUUAGCACAGUGCUACCUGAGUAUAAAUGUUGAUUAGGCAGCUUUGCUCCUGGCACACAGAAAUUACUUAAUACAACCACAGUAUCAAACAGAAGAGACACAACAAUAGUGAGCUUUCUGUCCCAUUAUCUUCAAAUAAUGCACUGAGAUUUAUUUCAGCCAUAUUGCAAUAGCUGCAGCAGCUAAUUUAGUGGAAGAAAUAAUAAACAAUACAGAGAAACAAGUCCA
This 707-nucleotide long non-coding RNA is filed under the name Cyanistes caeruleus (blue tit). RNAcentral describes it as "lncRNA (ENSCCEG00000015147.1)". The record is from RNAcentral. Lineage: Eukaryota; Metazoa; Chordata; Aves; Passeriformes; Paridae.